This 648-nucleotide ribosomal RNA is filed under the name Triticum aestivum (bread wheat). RNAcentral's name for it is "partial small subunit ribosomal RNA". The record is from RNAcentral. Lineage: Eukaryota; Viridiplantae; Streptophyta; Magnoliopsida; Poales; Poaceae.
AUGUAUUUGGCGAGUGCCACGAGGCCUGACAUCUCUUUUGCUGUGAGCAAGCUGAGUCGGUUUGUGUCAAAACCGGGAGAUGAUCAUUGGCAUGCGCUUGAGAGAGUUAUGCGCUAUUUGAAAGGCACCGCGAGCUAUGGGAUUCACUACACCGGGUAUCCUAGGGUACUGGAGGGUUAUAGUGACUCAAACUGGAUAUCUGAUGCUGAUGAGAUUAAGGCCACAAGUGGUUAUGUUUUUACACUUGGUGGUGGCGCUAUUUCCUGGAAGCCUUGCAAGCAGACCAUCUUAACGAGGUCAACUAUGGAAGCAGAACUCACAGCAUUAGACACUGCCACUUUUGAAGCAGAGUGGCUUCGUGAACUCUUGAUGGACUUACGUAUGGUUGAAAAACCGAUACCCCCUAUCCUGAUGAACUGUGAUAAUCAAACUGUGAUCGUCAAGAUAAACAGUUCUAAGGACAAUAUGAAGUCCUCAAGGCAUGUGAAGAGGAGACUAAAAUCUGUCAGAAAAUUGAGGAACUCCGGAGUUAUUACGUUGGAUUAUAUCCAAACGUCGAAAAACUUGGCAGAUCCCUUCACAAAGGGUCUAUCACGUAAUGUGAUAGAUAAUGCAUCGAUGGAGAUGGGUUUGAGACCCACCGCAUGA